AUUGAACGCUGGUGGCAGGCUUAACACAUGCAAGUCGAGCGGGGUGAUGGUGCUUGCACUAUCACUUAGCGGCGGACGGGUGAGUAAUGCUUAGGAAUCUGCCUAUUAGUGGGGGACAACAUCUCGAAAGGGAUGCUAAUACCGCAUACGUCCUACGGGAGAAAGCAGGGGAUCACUUGUGACCUUGUGCUAAUAGAUGGGCCUAAGUCGGAUUAGCUAGUUGGUGGGGUAAAGGCCUACCAAGGCGACGAUCUGUAGCGGGUCUGAGAGGAUGAUCCGCCACACUGGGACUGAGACACGGCCCAGACUCCUACGGGAGGCAGCAGUGGGGAAUAUUGGACAAUGGGGGGAACCCUGAUCCAGCCAUGCCGCGUGUGUGAAGAAGGCCUUAUGGUUGUAAAGCACUUUAAGCGAGGAGGAGGCUCUUUUGGUUAAUACCCAAGAUGAGUGGACGUUACUCGCAGAAUAAGCACCGGCUAACUCUGUGCCAGCCGCCGCAGUAA
This 503-nucleotide ribosomal RNA is filed under the name uncultured bacterium. RNAcentral's name for it is "partial 16S ribosomal RNA". It matches the Rfam family "Bacterial small subunit ribosomal RNA", at positions 30 to 523 of the family's 1533-position model. The record is from RNAcentral.